UGGGUUGUGGCUCAGUGGUAGAGCACUUGCCUAGCACGUGUGAGGCCCUGGGUUCAAACCUCAGCACCACAU
This 72-nucleotide transfer RNA is filed under the name Ictidomys tridecemlineatus (thirteen-lined ground squirrel). Its description in RNAcentral is "Spermophilus tridecemlineatus (thirteen-lined ground squirrel) tRNA". It matches the Rfam family "tRNA". Rfam says of the family: Transfer RNA (tRNA) molecules are approximately 80 nucleotides in length. Their secondary structure includes four short double-helical elements and three loops (D, anti-codon, and T loops). Lineage: Eukaryota; Metazoa; Chordata; Mammalia; Rodentia; Sciuridae. The record is from Rfam by way of RNAcentral.